Molecule: ribosomal RNA, 393 nt
Filed under: uncultured bacterium
Lineage: Bacteria
Description: partial 16S ribosomal RNA
Rfam family: Bacterial small subunit ribosomal RNA
Source: RNAcentral
AUACGGAGGAUGCAAGCGUUAUCCGGAUUUAUUGGGUUUAAAGGGAGCGCAGGCGGAGAUGCAAGCGUGACGUCAAAUUUCGGGGCUCAACCCCGUCUCGCGUCGCGAACUGCGUCCCUUGGUUGCGGGAAGGGGAGGCGGAACUCGUGGUGUAGCGGUGAAAUGCAUAGAUAUCACGAAGAACUCCGAUCGCGAAGGCAGCCUUCCGGCCCGUCAACGACGCUCAUGCUCGAAGGUGCGGGUAUCAAACAGGAUUAGAUACCCUGGUAGUCCGCACAGUAAACGAUGGACACCCGCGGUUUGGCCUAUAUGGCUGAGCCGCCAAGCGAAAGCGUUAAGUGUCCCACCUGGGGAGUACGCCGGCAACGGUGAAACUCAAAGGAAUUGACGGGG